Long non-coding RNA from Neoarius graeffei (lesser salmon catfish), 601 nucleotides. RefSeq lists it as uncharacterized. The record is from RefSeq and is a predicted model, not a curated record. The transcript has 4 exons. Lineage: Eukaryota; Metazoa; Chordata; Actinopteri; Siluriformes; Ariidae.
ACAUUAACGUUGUGUGAUCGGUUGAUGCAAUGAAAAUUGUGAACAAAGUUGUUAUUUAGCAGUUAGCUCAAGUAAUUACAAACAACAGAGGAUCUGCUUUUCUGUUGUGUCGUUACGUUAACCAGCUUCCCAUCCCUGUGUACUUGAACUAGGGAAUCCAGAGGAAACACGCCGCUUGAUUCGCUUUCGAGCUGAGAAUGAGCAGCGAUUUCUGAAAUCCAAAGCUGCUGCUAAAAAGCUUUGGGAGACGCUGAUCAAGGAGCUUGGCCUGGAGGGAAAGGUGACCUCCCAGCAAGCAUCAAAAAAGUGGGAGAACUUGAAAAAGAAGUAUAAGGAGCUGAAAAAUCCACUCUCUGGGAGUGGGACAGAUGAGGGCCAAACAACUGCGUGCACAUGGCAGUUUUUUGAGGACAUGCACGAGGUGUUGGGAUCCAGGCCAUCCAUUGACCCUCCAGUGGUAGUGGAAUCAUUUUGUCCUGAUGCUGAUCCCACACUUCUUCUGAUGGAAAUCGCCGGGCCCUCCUCAGACACCUUUUUUCCCAUGGCAGCCAGCACCUCUGAUGCUGACACAUCUACUACCUCUAGCCCUGCUCCUAUUCCC